GAGAGCGGGGCGGGCUGGUGAGGGGGCUUGCUCCUGCCUCUUCACCAAGGACCUCUGUAAAGGUCCUUGUGAAGACUGGCAUCUUUACUGGACCCCCGACGCGGAUACAGAGAGCCCGGAAGGGAGAGGAACAGAAAGAAGUCGUUAAGGUUGCAAAGACUAGGUUGUAUGAAGUUGUGCCCAAGCCAUCACUGAAAACAUUCCAUUUUACUCUUCUGCUUUCAAGAAGUGUAACAGCAAUAUCCAGAUGUUGAUGCUACUGAACAUGCCACUCAGCAGCUAAGAACUUCUGUUCCAGGUAUUUCGAUGCACUAUGUGUGAGGUGCUAUGAAGACCUUUAACAACUCAGGAUGCAGGAGACCUUAGCCAGGUAUAGUUGAUCAUUUUCCCUUCUUUUAUCUUUGCUACACAAUAUCUUAGUAAUCUCAAGUGAAGAUAAGAACUCAACUCCCCUCCCAGUUAAUUCAAAGAAGAUCUGGA
Long non-coding RNA from Prinia subflava (tawny-flanked prinia), 480 nucleotides. RefSeq lists it as uncharacterized. The record is from RefSeq and is a predicted model, not a curated record. Lineage: Eukaryota; Metazoa; Chordata; Aves; Passeriformes; Cisticolidae. The transcript has 3 exons.